UACGUAGGCAGCAAGCGUUGUUCGGAAUUACUGGGCGUAAAGGGUGCGUAGGCGGUGUUCUAAGUUUGGUGUGAAAUCUCCCGGCUCAACUGGGAGGGUGCGCCGAAAACUGGAGUACUUGAGUGCGGGAGAGGAAAGCGGAAUUCCUGGUGUAGCGGUGAAAUGCGUAGAGAUCAGGAGGAACACCUGCGGUGUAGACGGCUUUCUGGACCGUAACUGACGCUGAGGCACGAAAGCGUGGGGAGCAAAC
Molecule: ribosomal RNA, 250 nt
Filed under: uncultured bacterium
Lineage: Bacteria
Description: partial 16S ribosomal RNA
Rfam family: Bacterial small subunit ribosomal RNA
Source: RNAcentral